GACGAACGCUGGCGGCGUGCUUAACACAUGCAAGUCGAACGGUAAGGCCCCAGCUUGCUGGGGUACACGAGUGGCGAACGGGUGAGUAACACGUGGGUGACCUGCCCCGCACUUCGGGAUAAGCCUGGGAAACUGGGUCUAAUACCGGAUAGGACCGCACCGUGAGGGUGUGGUGGAAAGUUUUUCGGUGUGGGAUGGGCCCGCGGCCUAUCAGCUUGUUGGUGGGGUAAUGGCCUACCAAGGCGGCGACGGGUAGCCGGCCUGAGAGGGUGGACGGCCACAUUGGGACUGAGACACGGACCAGACUCCUACGGGAGGCAGCAGUGGGGAAUAUUGCACAAUGGGCGGAAGCCUGAUGCAGCGACGCCGCGUGGGGGAUGACGGCCUUCGGGUUGUAAACUGCUUUCACCAUCGACGAAGGUUUUCUGACGGUAGAUGGAGAAGAAGCACCGGCUAACUACGUG
RNAcentral lists this ribosomal RNA (464 nucleotides) under uncultured bacterium. RNAcentral's name for it is "partial 16S ribosomal RNA". It matches the Rfam family "Bacterial small subunit ribosomal RNA", at positions 28 to 507 of the family's 1533-position model. The record is from RNAcentral.